UUCAAUCUUCGUGUUUUCGAUUCUCAAAUGACCUUUCAGCGACCCACGAAAAACUCAGAAACGAUCACACCUCUAAAAAUGUUUUUCCAUCCUCGUGUUCGAGGCUAAUAGCUUCGGUUAAUAUGGUGAAUGCAAGUUAUUUUAAGGCUAAUUAUUAUCGAGCAGUAACGGGAUAUAACCGGGAUUUCCGAGUCAAUUAACGCUAAACGCGAACAAUAUCUCAUGCCAUCUACUGAUCGUAAUCUAAUAUUAAUCGAAAAAUGUUCGACGAAUAAAUUGAUAGGAUUUUUUAAAAUUUUGAUGAACUGUGGAGAAUUCUGUACUUAUGGAAAAUGUAAAUCUACAAACAUUUAUAAAAUGCACUUAAUGUGAAAGAUAUAAAAAAUAUGCAGAUUAAUUUCUGCGAUGAUUGCCCCUAGUAAACACUCGAAUAUAGUUACUGGAA
Molecule: unclassified non-coding RNA, 445 nt
Filed under: Bombus terrestris (buff-tailed bumblebee)
Lineage: Eukaryota; Metazoa; Arthropoda; Insecta; Hymenoptera; Apidae
Description: misc RNA ENSBTSG00005038368.1
Source: RNAcentral